Non-coding RNA from Pelobates cultripes (western spadefoot toad), 1269 nucleotides. The record is from the annotation of a GenBank genome assembly. Lineage: Eukaryota; Metazoa; Chordata; Amphibia; Anura; Pelobatidae.
UUAAGACCAGAAGGCCACUCAAGGCUCAGGGGCUCAACCACCUGGGUAACGAGUGGCUACCUCUGGCAGAAAACAUUGCUGAUCUGGCUACUGGACUCCAAAACGUUGUAACAUCAAUAUCAUUACAGCCACCACUUAGAUCUGGUGUCACAAUAGCUUGGAUUUUAAAAAAAAAAACACUUUUUUCACUGUUAUAGAUUGAAUAGCAGUCAGUGUCCUUAAAGCGGGUGUGUUACGCUAACAGUGGAUACGGUGACCAGUGCCACCACUUAGAUCUGGUGUCACAAUAGCUUGGAUUUAAACAAAAAACACUUUUUUCACUGUUAUAGAUUGAAUAGCAGUCAGUGUCCUUAAAGCGGGUGUGUUACGCUAACAGUGGAUACGGUGACCAGUGCCACCACUUAGAUCUGGUGACACAAUAGCUUGGAUUUUAAAACAAAAAACUUUUUUCACUGUUAUAGAUUGAAUAGCAGUUAGUUAUCUUCAAGCAGGUGUGUUACGCUAACAGUGGAUACGGUGACCAGUGCCACUGUGGCGAAACCAGCCUCGCCACUGUCCACUGGAGGAGCCUGGUUGCUCGCCUGCUCCCUUUAGACUAUGGCCCGGCAGUUAAAACCUUUUAUUUUCCCUGCAAAGCUUAUUCAUGCCUUUCUGUAGACUGUUAAAGCCAUGCUACCCCAGAUAGCUAUGCCAUGGAGCCCAGCUGUAUACUGAAAGACUGUAUGAAAGACUUUGGCUCCAUGGUGAUUGAACUGUAUUUAUGUGAUCUGAGCGCCAUUCGGUAGUAAUGUGCACUCAGAUCUAAGCUAUCUGGGGAUAUGUAGAAUGUCUGUUUUAUGGAAUAAAUGUAACUGUAUGUAAUUUUAUGUCUUUUAUUGUAUUGUUACUGCCAUGUGGUUAAUGGAGUCUUGCCUCUGUCCUGGGAGAUAAUUGGAUUACUUCACAGUUAUCUCCUGGACAGAGAGGAGGGAUUGUGAUGUAAAUGUGGGUGUGUUUUAUGGUUCCCCUGUAACGAUUGGUUGUACUGUGUCCCACCCUGUGGGAUGUCCUCUUGCAUGGGGACUUGCAUAAAAGCCAGUGUGUGGCCAUUACAGAGAGUUCCUGUUUUAACCCUCAAAGUGAAGUGUCGUCUCAUUAUUGGUGGAAGGAUUUAUUGAAUGCUGUUCCAGUUUGACUGCUAGGAGAGUAAACCUAUUCGUAUGGUUCCUAUUCAACUGUCUACAGCAUUCAUAUGCUUGAGAGGAUUCAUAUGCUUCUCCGGUUCGUUGG